This is an RNA transcript of Aedes aegypti (yellow fever mosquito), 2620 nucleotides long. It is a transcript of the gene named gastrula zinc finger protein XlCGF26.1, with no coding region annotated. The record is from RefSeq and is a predicted model, not a curated record. The transcript is spliced from 7 exons. NCBI's taxonomy places the organism in Eukaryota, Metazoa, Arthropoda, Insecta, Diptera, Culicidae.
AAAUUAUGACAUUUCAACAAAAACAACAAAACGCAUCUCUUUUGGUUCGAUGUUUAUCACCCAGAAAAAAGUUUUCUCGUAAUUUUUCAAAUGUUUUCGGAAGUGAAAUCGUGAAAAUUGUGCAAAAUAUCGGUUCAACCGCGAGUGCGAAAAAUGAACAUCUGUCGGGUGUGCAUGGAGAGCGGCGAGGAAUCCGGGAGCGGUGGUGCGGUUCCGGAUUUGAUUCCCAUCUUCUCCAAGCUGGAGGAUGCGUUUAUCGCCAACAUUUUGGUCGAGUGCACUUCGGUACAGAUUCUGGAGGAUGACGGCCUUCCGACGACGAUCUGCCAGGGAUGCGUCGACAGUUUGAAAAGCUUCAUCCGGUUUAUCCGGAAGGCGAGGGAAUCGGACCGGAAGCUGCGCAAGAUGUUCAAAUCGGAAGGGGCCGGGAAAAGGACGGUCGAAGAGGCGGAAGCUGACGAGGAGGAUGAUAAGAAUUGGACCUCGGCCAUGGAGCUGUCGUCGGUUUUCACCGAGAGCAUAAUGGAAGUGAAGGAGGAGCUGGAGUCGGAUGAUGGGAAAGAUGCUCCGGGGGAAGCUGCGUACGAAGUGGAAUAUCUGGAUGAUGUAAAUGCUUCGGAUGAGGAAGUUGAGGACAGGAAACCCGUGAAGAGAAGAGGACGCAGGAAAAAGUAUAAAGAUUCGGACGACAGUGACUCGGAUUUUGUGGCUGAGCCUCCGAAACCCAGACGAGGAAGGAAACCUGGACGGAAGCCUUCCCGGAAAGUGGAUGACGAUGAUGAAGACUACGGAAGUGACGAUGCGUUGGACGAGAAGGAAUUGGAGACUUUCGAGGUCAUUGAGAUCCAGAAAGGUCAACUGGUGUGCUGUUCAUGUCUACUGAUCUUCGAUAGUUCUGAGGAGCUGGAGGUUCACCGAGAAAAGCAUAUCAAGAAGCGGAGAGUCAACAUGACCAAGACGAAUAUUUGCCAGAUUUGCUAUCGGAGAUAUUCGACGCCAUAUGCCUUGAAACUGCACUAUCGACGGAUGAAGGAAGCAACGAAGAUCUACGGUUGCAUCAAGUGUCCUGCAAGGUUUAUAGAUCAGAAACGUCGUCGACAGCAUGCCCAUAAUCACCCUCGAGAGAAGGAGAUUGUACCCUCCAAGGUAAUCGUGGCGCCAAUUCCUGAGGUUAUCCAUAACGAAUACGGCCGGAUUUGUUGCGCCCAAGCAUGCUAUCAAUCGUUCGAAACGGAAGAACUGCUGCUUGCACACGCCCAUACAGCCCACAAGGUUAACAAAGUGGAGCAAUCGCUGGACGAAAACAAGGACAAACCCAUCGAAUGUCUGGUGUGCUUCAAGCGGUUCUACGACGAAGUGUCGCUUCAGCGCCACCAGCAACGGAACUAUAAGCCUCUGAGCCAUCAGUGUGCCGUGUGUGGACUGAAGGUGAGAGGAGGAGAAGCAUUGGCCACACAUGAACGAUCCCAUCGCAACGAGAAGCCGUUCGAGUGCGAGAUCUGCCAUAAGAACUUCACCAGCAAGGGCAGCCUCAAAGCGCACAUGAUGGUGCACAGUGGGGAGAAACCGUUCGUUUGUACGACCUGUGGGUGGAGCUUUCGCCGCAAGCGAAACCUUCAGGUGCACAUCCUGUCGCAUUCGAACAACCAGCCGUUCCAGUGUGAGAUUUGUCAGAAGACGUUCAAAUCGAAGGUUCACCUGCAGUAUCAUAUGCGGACGCACACGGGAGAGAAGCCGUACCCCUGUCGUUUUUGUGACAAAGCAUUUGCUGACCACACAAAUAGGCAACGACACGAAAUGUCUCAUACGGGCAUCAAACCGUACAAAUGCACCUAUUGUGAUAAAACGUUUAUUCGCAAACGAUUUCAAGUCGACCAUGAAAGUAGUCAUACGGGAAUUAAACCAUACCGGUGUGACAUGUGCAAUCGCACUUUCAGUCACAAGUCCGGUUUGCGUCGCCAUUUGGAAGCCCACCCGCUGGCACCGGGAAAUGCAAUAGCCCUGGCUGCCCCUUCGCCGAUGCCAGCUCCGUCGUUGUCACACUCGGAGGUCGGUGCCGUGGAAUCAUCAAUGUCGCCGCCACCACCACCACCACCCUCAGCAAUGUCCCAGAUGGGUUCCAUGGGUGAUCUAGGACCUAGCAGUAGUGGCUACUUCCAGCAUCCGUAAAGCGAUAGGUAUUAAACCGUACAAGUGCAGCUUCUGUGAUAAAUCUUUCAUUCGUAAACGCUUUCAGAUGGACCACGAAAGCUGUCAUACAGGUGUAAAACCGUACAGUUGCGACCUGUGCAAACGCAGUUUCAGCCAUCAGUCCGGAUUACGUCGGCAUCGGCUAGAAACGCACAGUUCAGAGACGGAGAAUGUGAGUAAUCUAGCGGGUCCUUCCAAUCCGACGCAAUGAUGGCUGCUUUCAAACGUAGAUGAUUUACCAGUGGCUGUACUGACCAACAGCAGUCUGAGCGAGCAUCCGAAGCCAGAAAGCAGCAGCGAUUGGUAGAUAGUAAGUAUGUUUUAAUAAAGUAGAGCGUUGGGCUUAGCGUAUGUGAUUCAUAGAAGUUUCCUAGUGUAUUUUAAAAUAGGUGCCAAGAAACUUCUUAAAAAUUGCUAUUGCUAUGAGGAA